Molecule: long non-coding RNA, 1029 nt
Organism: Vicia villosa (hairy vetch)
Lineage: Eukaryota; Viridiplantae; Streptophyta; Magnoliopsida; Fabales; Fabaceae
Exons: 2
Source: RefSeq, a predicted model, not a curated record
UUAAGGAUUAACAAAGUAAGAUAAUCAAAACUCCCUCUCUCUUAAUAAAAUAUUCACGUGAGAAACAAAAACAAUAUAGUCACCAUUUUCAUUAAUAUUAUUAACUUUUAAAAAACAAAUAUCUCUCUCAUAAUGAUCAUGGUCUUUAUCUCUCAUUAUGACCUCACAUUAUUUCUCACAUAAAGCAACAAAAUUACACUAGUUAUUUUCAGCAAAAAAGUUAAUCAAAGAAGAAGCAAAGAACAUAGGCGGAGCACAUGAACUCACGGCGGCUCGCAUAAAGCUCAUGGCGGCCGGAGCUUCUCCGGCGCGGUGGCCGGAGAAAUUAGCAAUCAAAGGAUGGAAUCGUUAUCAGAGGCUGAUUCUCAACCUUUCAGUGUCAAGUAACGAAACAAGGGCGGAGGAGACGGCUCCGGCGCGGUGGUCAGAGUUCCGACGGUGGUUUCCGGUCAGGUGACGAAUUCAGGUGAGUUUCUUAUGAUUUUCUCUGAGUAAGUCUGAAAAGUUCUGAGCCAAAAGGUCCUUUGUGUUAGUUGAUUGAAUGAUUAUAUAGUACUCAGAGUCAGGGUUUUUGCUGUGAAUCUUGGGCUGAGAAGUAAUUUCAGAUGCAGAGUGAUUUUUUUUGGUGUGAAGCCCAUUCCGAAAAUGCUAUCAAUUGAGUCCAAGAAUUCACAUUUUUUGUUUGCAAAUUAUGUUAUGCUAUGUUUAACUUGGGCCUGAUUUAACAACUUUAUGGAAUUGUUGUUUUUACAAUAAAUAUGCUAAUUCUUUUCUUCUUCUCUUUUUUUAUGUGAUGAAUGAAAAUAUUGGUGGACAUGGAGAAUUAGAACUUGAAGAUGAACAUGAACAAAAACCGUUGAUGAAGCUUUCUAAGUCACGCCCAUGGAGAGCUUGUGAAGUGAUUCAAGAAAAUAUGACUUUGUAACAUGGAUGUAAUUUGAAAUUGUAUAUGGAACUUGAAUUCUUUAUGCUUGACAACCUGUAGAAACACUUGUUGUUUUUUGGAAUACCAAAUGAACCUUUCGUAUC